GGCCUGUUGCCGCUGGCAUGGCCGGCCCUUGAGGCGCGCGAGCUUUGUGCGCGGCUUUAUCAAGCUCUUCUGCCGCCAUCUGAAUCCUGGCUGGACGAGCACGGCGAGAGCGUGACGGGUUCCUUGCGUCCGCCGGGGCCGGAACUUGGCCGCCGGUUCUCGGAUGUGCAGGGCAAUAUGUUACAGAAAUAGCUUGCGUCUUAUAUUUUAUGUUAUA
Molecule: unclassified non-coding RNA, 217 nt
Filed under: Hevea brasiliensis (rubber tree)
Lineage: Eukaryota; Viridiplantae; Streptophyta; Magnoliopsida; Malpighiales; Euphorbiaceae
Source: RNAcentral